AUGAACGCUGGCGGCAGGCCUAACACAUGCAAGUCGAACGGUAACAGAAAGAAGCUUGCUUCUUUGCUGACGAGUGGCGGACGGGUGAGUAAUGUCUGGGAAACUGCCUGAUGGAGGGGGAUAACUACUGGAAACGGUAGCUAAUACCGCAUAACGUCGCAAGACCAAAGAGGGGGACCUUCGGGCCUCUUGCCAUCGGAUGUGCCCAGAUGGGAUUAGCUAGUAGGUGGGGUAACGGCUCACCUAGGCGACGAUCCCUAGCUGGUCUGAGAGGAUGACCAGCCACACUGGAACUGAGACACGGUCCAGACUCCUACGGGAGGCAGCAGUGGGGAAUAUUGCACAAUGGGCGCAAGCCUGAUGCAGCCAUGCCGCGUGUAUGAAGAAGGCCUUCGGGUUGUAAAGUACUUUCAGCGGGGAGGAAGGGAGUAAAGUUAAUACCUU
This 444-nucleotide ribosomal RNA is filed under the name uncultured Escherichia sp. RNAcentral describes it as "bacterial SSU rRNA". It matches the Rfam family "Bacterial small subunit ribosomal RNA", at positions 29 to 469 of the family's 1533-position model. The record is from RNAcentral. Lineage: Bacteria; Pseudomonadati; Pseudomonadota; Gammaproteobacteria; Enterobacterales; Enterobacteriaceae.